Molecule: long non-coding RNA, 503 nt
Organism: Phyllopteryx taeniolatus (common seadragon)
Lineage: Eukaryota; Metazoa; Chordata; Actinopteri; Syngnathiformes; Syngnathidae
Exons: 4
Source: RefSeq, a predicted model, not a curated record
GCUCACUCUGGAUGCUGUGUGGUGGAUAAAGACCACUCUGGACCGGCGUCAUGUGCUUUCUAUUAGCUUUAGCGUUGGCGGAAGAAGCCCCCUGUUGCAGCACUGGGCCACUGGCAUUGUGUGAAUCCGUACUGUGCAAAUGGAAAUGUGUACCUGUCACAUUGUCACAGUGCCAAGGACGUCUCUGAUAGGCCUUCAUUGAGAUUUCUGCUUUCUUGAAAUGACCCUGCGAAGAAGUCAUACCAAAACACAUUGAGGCACUGCACCAUCCCUUUCAUCUCCCCCUGCGAUGUGCCCAUCAAUCUGGAACAGUGUAAAUCAUUUCCUGCAGUCUGGAUGCUGUGGCACUGUCCUGCCUCUCACAGGGUGACAACAAGAUCUUGCGGGAGUUCCAGCUCGAACUUCUCCUCCGGUUUUACGAGGACGACUUGGAGUUCUUGACAGUCCACAAAAUAUACGAGCCUGUCUGGCUCCAGGCUGAUGGCCAACUGCACCCAUUCCCC